UCACCCAACCCUUCAAUGCGCGGUACAUGCUCUGACACUAUUAAAUUACAGAAAAUAGUUAUUAUAAUAUAAUUUAUUUUUGUAAAUGAUGUAGAACUUUCUUUAAGGGAACCCGUGAUUAAAAAAUAACAAUAUAUUGCCAUAUUAUUAACUGUGUUUGAUAUAUGGUCAUUGUUCUUAAUCAAUGAACCCAUUGCGAUACCUACAAUUUCAAAACAAAUUUCGAUAAUUAAUUUCUAAGUUUGAUGCAUUUUAAAUAUUUAUCAAAGUACCUAAAUUUUAUAUAUUGCUUUUAAUUACAAAUAAUACCAAACAGUUUUGUCC
Molecule: long non-coding RNA, 324 nt
Filed under: Gossypium raimondii (Peruvian cotton)
Lineage: Eukaryota; Viridiplantae; Streptophyta; Magnoliopsida; Malvales; Malvaceae
Description: long non-coding RNA (GRAI_LNC008639)
Source: RNAcentral